This 207-nucleotide long non-coding RNA is filed under the name Arabidopsis lyrata. RNAcentral's name for it is "long non-coding RNA (ALYR_LNC001029)". The record is from RNAcentral. Lineage: Eukaryota; Viridiplantae; Streptophyta; Magnoliopsida; Brassicales; Brassicaceae.
UAAUUUAAAGAAAUUAUUUACUACUAUACAAAAUCGGAAUUGCAGCAUAUUCCUAAAAUAAAUCGAUUACAAAGAUUUGAUUCGAAUUUAGUUAAGGUUGCAAAGAUAUUUUCCUUUGCUACCACGAAUUUCGUAACCUAAUCGUCACACGCCUAUAUAUACUCAUUAGCUUCACCUUUCAUCACACCAUCGAACACACAAAGCAUU